RNAcentral lists this ribosomal RNA (485 nucleotides) under uncultured bacterium. RNAcentral describes it as "partial 16S ribosomal RNA". It matches the Rfam family "Bacterial small subunit ribosomal RNA", at positions 28 to 523 of the family's 1533-position model. The record is from RNAcentral.
GACGAACGCUGGCGGCGUGCUUAACACAUGCAAGUCGAACGGUGAAAGCGGAGCUUGCUCCGCUGGAUCAGUGGCGAACGGGUGAGUAACACGUGGGCAACCUGCCCCUCACUUCGGGAUAACUCCGGGAAACCGGGGCUAAUACCGGAUAUGACCUCCUUGGGCAUCCUUGGAGGUGGAAAGUUUUUCGGUGAGGGAUGGGCCCGCGGCCUAUCAGCUUGUUGGUGAGGUAGUGGCUCACCAAGGCGACGACGGGUAGCCGGCCUGAGAGGGCGACCGGCCACACUGGGACUGAGACACGGCCCAGACUCCUACGGGAGGCAGCAGUGGGGAAUAUUGCGCAAUGGGCGAAAGCCUGACGCAGCAACGCCGCGUGCGGGAUGACGGCCUUCGGGUUGUAAACCGCUUUCAGCAGGGAAGAAGCCGCAAGGUGACGGUACCUGCAGAAGAAGCACCGGCUAACUACGUGCCAGCCGCCGCAGUAA